This 832-nucleotide ribosomal RNA is filed under the name uncultured crenarchaeote. RNAcentral describes it as "bacterial SSU rRNA". It matches the Rfam family "Archaeal small subunit ribosomal RNA", at positions 53 to 893 of the family's 1478-position model. Lineage: Archaea; Thermoproteati; Thermoproteota. The record is from RNAcentral.
GCGAGUCAACAUAGCAAUAUGUGGCAUACGGCUCAGUAACACGUAGUCAACAUGCCCAGGGGACGUGGAUAACCUCGGGAAACUGAGGAUAAACCGCGAUAGGCCAUCACUUCUGGAAUGGGUAAUGACUUAAACCUAUAUGGCCCCUGGAUUGGACUGCGGCCGAUCAGGCUGUUGGUGAGGUAAUGGCCCACCAAACCUGUAACCGGUACGGGCUCUGAGAGGAGGAGCCCGGAGAUGGGCACCGAGACAAGGGCCCAGGCCCUAUGGGGCGCAGCAGGCGCGAAACCUCUGCAAUAGGCGAAAGCUUGACAGGGUUACUCUGAGUGAUUUCCGUUAAGGAGAUCUUUUGGCACCUCUAAAAAUGGUGCAGAAUAAGGGGUGGGCAAGUCUGGUGUCAGCCGCCGCGGUAAUACCAGCACCCCGAGUGGUCGGGACGUUUAUUGGGCCUAAAGCAUCCGUAGCCGGUUCUACAAGUCUUCCGUUAAGUCCACCUGCUUAACAGAUGGGCUGCGGAAGAUACUAUAGAGCUAGGAGGCGGGAGAGGCAAGCGGUACUCGAUGGGUAGGGGUAAAAUCCGUUGAUCCAUUGAAGACCACCAGUGGCGAAGGCGGCUUGCCAGAACGCGCUCGACGGUGAGGGAUGAAAGCUGGGGGAGCAAACCGGAUUAGAUACCCGGGUAGUCCCAGCUGUAAACUAUGCAAACUCAGUGAUGCAUUGGCUUGUGGCCAAUGCAGUGCUGCAGGGAAGCCGUUAAGUUUGCCGCCUGGGAAGUACGUACGCAAGUAUGAAACUUAAAGGAAUUGGCGGGGGAGCACCACAAGGGGUGAAG